This 500-nucleotide ribosomal RNA is filed under the name uncultured bacterium. RNAcentral's name for it is "partial 16S ribosomal RNA". It matches the Rfam family "Bacterial small subunit ribosomal RNA", at positions 28 to 507 of the family's 1533-position model. The record is from RNAcentral.
GACGAACGCUGGCGGCGUGCUUAACACAUGCAAGUCGAACGGGUCUGCCCUGUUUUUUGCGGGGUGGGUCAGUGGCGAACGGGUGAGUAACACGUGAGUAACCUGCCCCUCACUUCUGGAUAACCGCUUGAAAGGGUGGCUAAUACGGGGUGUUCUGGCUGUGCCGCAUGGUGUGGCUGGGAAAGAUUCACUUUUGUGGUGUUUUGGUGGGGGAUGGGCUCGCGGCCUAUCAGCUUGUUGGUGGGGUGAUGGCCUGCCAAGGCUUUGACGGGUAGCCGGCUUGAGAGGGUGGGCGGUCACACUGGGACUGAGAUACGGCCCGGACUCGUGCAGGAGGCAGCAGUGGAGGGUAGUGCACAAUGGGCGGAAGCCUGAUGCAGCGACGUCGCGUGAGGGAUGGAGGCCUUCGGGUUGUGAACCUCUUUCGCCGGUGAAGAAGGUCCUGCUCUUUGUGGUGGGGUUGACGGUAGCCGGGUUAUGAAGCGCCGGCUAACUACGUG